CCUUCCUAGAGUAAACAGCUUAUGGAAGCAUGCGCAACUAGAAUUGUUAUCUGGCUCAAAGCUGCCCCUAAGCACACACCAUUUUAGCAAACACCAUUUUAAAGUCCUUAUCAGGGCAAGGGGGACUUGAUUUUCUUCAGUGCUUUGAGACAGAUAGGGAAAAGGAGAUAAAAUCAACAUGAAACCAAACAAUUUCUUGGAAGAGAAACAGAUCAGGAAUCUUACGAUUCUCACGAGCUGAACUGCUCCCCUGCCAUCCCAAACUCAUACACUGAAGCCCUAACCCCCAACAUGACUGCAUCUGGAGAUGGGGCCUUUAUGGUCAUAAUUAAGGAUAAAUGAGGUCAUAAUGGGGGAGCCCUAAUCCAAUAGGACUGGUGUCCUUAUGAAAAGGGGAAAUCUGGACACAGCACACGGUGAGGAGACUAUGUGAACACGAAGAAGCCUACUGAGAUGGUUAAUAUUGAGUGUCAAUGUGAUUGGAUUGAAGGAUGCAAGGUGCUGUUCCUGGGUGUGUCUGUGCGGGUGUUUCCAAAGGAGGUUAACAUUUAAGUCAGCGGAUGAAGAGAGACAGACCCACCCUCAAUUUGGGUUGGUACCAUCUAAUCAGCUGCCAGCGAGCCAAGAGAAAAGCAGGCAGGAGAAGAUGGAACAACACACUUGCUGAGUCUUCCGGCCUUUAUCUUUCUCCCAUGCUGGAUCCUUCCUGCCCUGGAACAUCGGACUCCAAGUUCUUCAGCUUUUGGACUCUUGGACUUACACCAGUGGUUUGCCAGGGGCUCUUGGGGCCUUUGACCACAGCCUGAAGGCUACACUAUCGGCUUCUCUAUUUUUGAGAGAACCCUAAUACACUCAUCUACAAGCCAAGGAGAGAGGCCUGUAACAGGUAUCUCCUCCCAGUCCUCAGAAGGAACCAACCCUGCCAACACCUUGACUUCAACCUUCUGGCCUACAGAACUAUGAGACAAUAAAUUUUGUUGUUUAAGCUACCCAAUUUGUGGUGCUUUGUUACAGCAGCUCUAGCAAACUAAUAGACUUAACUUCUGUGAACCUCAAUUUCC
Molecule: long non-coding RNA, 1061 nt
Filed under: Homo sapiens (human)
Lineage: Eukaryota; Metazoa; Chordata; Mammalia; Primates; Hominidae
Description: HSALNT0387023
Source: RNAcentral